AAAUUUCUAUUUUACAAGUUUUUCAGGGAAUCAUAUUCUUCACUGAGAAAAAUGUGUUACUCUUUUGGACAAUUUAUCUUAUUUCUAUCAUAUAAAAUGUAUUUUUUUUAUUGACCUUAAAAGAAACUCUAGCAUGAAAUUAAAGGAAAGGGGAAAAAAUAGAUCUGGUGCACCCAAACAUUAGGAGAAAAUGAAAAAUAUACAGCCAACCGUUUGUGAGUCAUCAAAAAGUCAAAGUCAGCCUGGUCAACAUGGCAAAACCCCAUCUCUACAAAAAAUACAAAAAUAAGCUCGGUGUAGUGGCGUGUGCCUGUAAUCCCAGCUACUCAAGAGGCCGAAGCAUGAGAAUUGCUUGAACUCAGGAGGCGGAGGUUUCAAUGAGCCGAGAUCGUGCCACUGCACUCCAGCCUGGGCAAGAGAGAGAGAGACCUUGUCUCAAAAAACAAAACAAAAAAAGUCAAAGUCAUAAUAAGCAAAUUAUUGGCUUCUUUCUUCUAGACUAAAAGAAAUUAAAGAGUUGAAACAAUUGCAAGGGCUGAAACUAGAUUGGAUCUUGGUUUGAAUUUUAAAAGAGCAUAAAAUAUUCUUGCAAUAAUUGUAAAAAUUUGAAUGCGGACUCAGUCCUAGAUUGUAUUAAAAUAUUUUUAAUUUUUUAAGCUUGACAAACGCACUGAUUGUUAUACUUUAAAUAACCAAAAAUCUGAGAAUCCACAGUGCUACAGAAAAUAAGUGAUAAAAUGGGAAAAAAUAGUGAAGAACUUCUUUUAGGAAAACUACCAAUAAAUGUAGAAUGGAUGAUUC
Long non-coding RNA from Mandrillus leucophaeus (drill), 801 nucleotides. RefSeq lists it as uncharacterized. The record is from RefSeq and is a predicted model, not a curated record. The transcript is spliced from 2 exons. Lineage: Eukaryota; Metazoa; Chordata; Mammalia; Primates; Cercopithecidae.